AAUCUUGCGCAAUGGGCGAAAGCCUGGCGCAGCGACGCCGCGUGAGUGAAGAAGGCCUUCGGGUUGUAAAACUCUGUCCUCAGGGAAGAAGCAAGUGACGGUACCUGAGGAGGAAGCCCCGGCUAACUUCGUGCCAGCAGCCGCGGUAAUACGAAGGGGGCUAGCGUUGUUCGGAAUUACUGGGCGUAAAGCGCGCGUAGGCGGACUUUUAAGUCAGGGGUGAAAUCCCGAGGCUCAACCUCGGAACAGCCUUUGAUACUGGAGGUCUCGAGUCCGAGAGAGGUGAGUGGAAUUCCGAGUGUAGAGGUGAAAUUCGUAGAUAUUCGGAGGAACACCAGUGGCGAAGGCGGCUCACUGGCUCGGUACUGACGCUGAGGUGCGAAAGCGUGGGGAGCAAAC
This 399-nucleotide ribosomal RNA is filed under the name uncultured bacterium. Its description in RNAcentral is "partial 16S ribosomal RNA". It matches the Rfam family "Bacterial small subunit ribosomal RNA", at positions 360 to 773 of the family's 1533-position model. The record is from RNAcentral.